GACGAACGCUGGCGGCGUGCUUAACACAUGCAAGUCGAACGAAGAGCGAUGGAAGCUUGCUUCUAUCAAUCUUAGUGGCGAACGGGUGAGUAACGCGUAAUCAACCUGCCCUUCAGAGGGGGACAACAGUUGGAAACGACUGCUAAUACCGCAUACGAUCUAAUCUCGGCAUCGAGGAUAGAUGAAAGGUGGCCUCUACAUGUAAGCUAUCACUGAAGGAGGGGAUUGCGUCUGAUUAGCUAGUUGGAGGGGUAACGGCCCACCAAGGCGAUGAUCAGUAGCCGGUCUGAGAGGAUGAACGGCCACAUCGGGACUGAGACACGGCCCAGACUCCUACGGGAGGCAGCAGUGGGGAAUCUUCCGCAAUGGACGAAAGUCUGACGGAGCAACGCCGCGUGAGUGAUGACGGCCUUCGGGUUGUAAAGCUCUGUUAAUCGGGACGAAAGGCCUUCUUGCGAAUAGUGAGAAGGAUUGACGGUACCGGAAUAGAAAGCCACGGCUAACUACGUG
This 510-nucleotide ribosomal RNA is filed under the name uncultured bacterium. Its description in RNAcentral is "partial 16S ribosomal RNA". It matches the Rfam family "Bacterial small subunit ribosomal RNA", at positions 28 to 507 of the family's 1533-position model. The record is from RNAcentral.